This 67-nucleotide transfer RNA is filed under the name Marmota monax (woodchuck). RNAcentral's name for it is "tRNA.Ala". The record is from RNAcentral. Lineage: Eukaryota; Metazoa; Chordata; Mammalia; Rodentia; Sciuridae.
GGUUGUGGCCCAGUGGUAGAGUGCUUGCCUGGCAUGUACGAGGCGCUGGGUUCGAUCCUCAGCACCA